RNAcentral lists this ribosomal RNA (253 nucleotides) under uncultured bacterium. RNAcentral's name for it is "partial 16S ribosomal RNA". It matches the Rfam family "Bacterial small subunit ribosomal RNA", at positions 524 to 776 of the family's 1533-position model. The record is from RNAcentral.
UACGGAGGGUGCAAGCAUUAAUCGGAUUUAUUGGGCGUAAAGGGCGCGUAGGCGGGAAUGUAAGUCGGAUGUGAAAUCCCGGGGCUCAACCUCGGACCCGCAUUCGAAACUGCAAUUCUAGAGGAUAAGCGGAGAAAAUGGAAUUCCACGUGUAGCGGUGAAAUGCGUAGAUAUGUGGAAGAACACCUGUGGCGUAGGCGAUUUUCUAGCUUAUAUCUGACGCUAAUGCGCGAAAGCGAGGGGAGCAAACAGG